Molecule: long non-coding RNA, 233 nt
Filed under: Elaeis guineensis (African oil palm)
Lineage: Eukaryota; Viridiplantae; Streptophyta; Magnoliopsida; Arecales; Arecaceae
Description: long non-coding RNA (EGUI_LNC047923)
Source: RNAcentral
CAAUUGCAAUCUACUAUUGCCAGAUGCCAUGGCCUAAUAUUGCUAGAAUCAAGGAAAGGAUCCAUUGAUUCUCUACUUAAUCCUUUUUCCCAUCUUUCCUAGUCAUUGGAUCAUGGAUUCUGACAGAAUAGUAGUCUGAUUUGGCUAGAAAAAAAAAUGCUUUGUUUGGUUUUCAAAUAUUUGUUUUUGGAUUUUUCAAGCCCUAUUCUUUUUUUUCUGACCAUCUCCGCUGC